ACAUGUCAUUUUUCAUAUCAGACCCUUUAUCGGCCCUCGUUCAUGACAUUAGCCCUCGAGCCUGCGGCUCUUGGGCUGAUAUCAUAACCUUGGGCCGAUAAAGGGUCUGAUAUGAAAAAUGCCAUGUAAUAA
RNAcentral lists this small RNA (132 nucleotides) under Mytilus galloprovincialis (Mediterranean mussel). Lineage: Eukaryota; Metazoa; Mollusca; Bivalvia; Mytilida; Mytilidae. The record is from RNAcentral.